UGAGUGUCAAGAGAAAAAAUACCUUGAUCACUCAGGUGCCCUCUCCUCAGUUUUUCUCUGUCCAGGCUUGAAGAACUAUAACCAUUUCCAAGUUCUAAAAGGACAGGUGGGGGAGUUAUUUGUUUGUUUAUUUGUUUGUUUUGAUUUCAGAAAGAUGUGAACUCCAGGAUCUCUUGAGAGACUGCCAGAGCCAGCAGCCCCAAGGAUACUUCGAACAGUGGGCACUGGUGCAAUUCUAUAAAAAGAAACCAGAAACCAUUUAGAUGUGUGUCAGGAAGAAGCACUUCCAGAUGCUUGAGGAAAGAUGCAAGAUAGCAAGGUGGGAAUCUGAGAAACAAGGAGUUUAAGGAUUUUGCCAUAAGUCACCUAGAAGACGCAGGGUGAGGAAGGGAUUUGAACCUGAGCAUACUGACUCCAGAGCCCUCUUAGCUGCUCCGUGGAGCAGGGGCUUUCUGCAAAGUAGAGGUUCUGAUCAUCUACUGUUGCAUAAUAAACCAAAAUUUAGUGGUUUAAAAAACG
RNAcentral lists this long non-coding RNA (519 nucleotides) under Homo sapiens (human). Its description in RNAcentral is "HSALNT0384332". The record is from RNAcentral. Lineage: Eukaryota; Metazoa; Chordata; Mammalia; Primates; Hominidae.